AGUGAACGCUGGCGGUAGGCCUAACACAUGCAAGUCGAACGGCAGCACAGUAAGAGCUUGCUCUUACGGGUGGCGCGUGGCGGACGGGUGAGGAAUACCUCGGAAUCUACUUUUUCGUGGGGGAUAACGUAGGGAAACUUACGCUAAUACCGCAUACGACCUACGGGUGAAAGCAGGGGAUCUUCGGACCUUGCGCGAUUGAAUGAGCCGAUGUCGGAUUAGCUAGUUGGCGGGGUAAAGGCCCACCAAGGCGACGAUCCGUAGCUGGUCUGAGAGGAUGAUCAGCCACACUGGAACUGAGACACGGUCCAGACUCCUACGGGAGGCGGCAGUGGGGAAUAUUGGACAAAGGGCGCAAGCCUGAUCCAGCCAUACCGCGGGGGUGAAGAAGGCCUUCGGGUUGUAAAGCCCUUUUGUUGAGAAAGAAAAGCAGCAGGUUAAUACCCCGCUGUUCUGACGGUACCCAAAGAAUAAGCACCGGCUAACUUCGUG
RNAcentral lists this ribosomal RNA (492 nucleotides) under uncultured bacterium. RNAcentral's name for it is "partial 16S ribosomal RNA". It matches the Rfam family "Bacterial small subunit ribosomal RNA", at positions 29 to 507 of the family's 1533-position model. The record is from RNAcentral.